CGCUGCUAUCCGGCUGGGACUAAGCCAUGCGAGUCAUGGGGCGCGGGCUCUUCGGAGUCCGCGCACCGGCGGACGGCUCAGUAACACGUGGCCAACCUGCCCUCGGGAGGGGGAUAACCCCGGGAAACUGGGGCUAAACCCCCAUAGGGGAUGGGUGGUGGAAUUCCCCCAUCCCCGAAAGUGUGCCGUUCCCGUAAGGGGCGGCACAGCCCGAGGAUGGGGCUGCGGCGGAUUAGGUAGUUGGCGGGGUAAUGGCCCGCCAAGCCGAAGAUCCGUACGGGCCAUGAGAGUGGGAGCCCGGAGAUGGACCCUGAGACAAGGGUCCAGGCCCUACGGGGCGCAGCAGGCGCGAAACCUCCGCAAUGCGGGAAACCGCGACGGGGUCAGCCGGAGUGCCCGCGCAUCGCGCGGGCUGUCGGGGAGCCUAAACAGCUCCCCAUAGCAAGGGCCGGGCAAGGCCGGUGGCAGCCGCCGCGGUAAUACCGGCGGCCCGAGUGGCGGCCACUAUUAUUGGGCCUAAAGCGUCCGUAGCCGGGCUGGUAAGUCCCCCGGGAAAUCUGGCGGCUUAACCGUCAGACUUC
This 581-nucleotide ribosomal RNA is filed under the name uncultured Archaeoglobales archaeon. RNAcentral describes it as "bacterial SSU rRNA". It matches the Rfam family "Archaeal small subunit ribosomal RNA", at positions 25 to 574 of the family's 1478-position model. The record is from RNAcentral. Lineage: Archaea; Methanobacteriati; Methanobacteriota; Archaeoglobi; Archaeoglobales.